Molecule: ribosomal RNA, 253 nt
Filed under: uncultured bacterium
Lineage: Bacteria
Description: partial 16S ribosomal RNA
Rfam family: Bacterial small subunit ribosomal RNA
Source: RNAcentral
UACGGAGGGUGCAAGCGUUAAUCGGAAUUACUGGGCGUAAAGCGUGCGCAGGCGGUUGUGCAAGACAGAUGUGAAAUCCCCGGGCUCAACCUGGGAAUUGCAUUUGUGACUGCACGGCUAGAGUGUGUCAGAGGGGGGUAGAAUUCCACGUGCAGCAGUGAAAUGCGUAGAGAUGUGGAGGAAUACCGAUGGCGAAGGCAGCCCCCUGGGAUAACACUGACGCUCAUGCACGAAAGCGUGGGGAGCAAACAGG